RNAcentral lists this ribosomal RNA (495 nucleotides) under uncultured bacterium. Its description in RNAcentral is "partial 16S ribosomal RNA". It matches the Rfam family "Bacterial small subunit ribosomal RNA", at positions 28 to 507 of the family's 1533-position model. The record is from RNAcentral.
GACGAACGCUGGCGGCGUGCCUAAUACAUGCCAGUCGAACGCUGAAGGAGGAGCUUGCUUCUCCGGAUGAGUUGCGAACGGGUGAGUAACGCGUAGGUAACCUGCCUGGUAGCGGGGGAUAACUAUUGGAAACGAUAGCUAAUACCGCAUAACAGUAGAUGUUGCAUGACAUUUGCUUAAAAGGUGCAAUUGCAUCACUACCAGAUGGACCUGCGUUGUAUUAGCUAGUUGGUGAGGUAACGGCUCACCAAGGCGACGAUACAUAGCCGACCUGAGAGGGUGAUCGGCCACACUGGGACUGAGACACGGCCCAGACUCCUACGGGAGGCAGCAGUAGGGAAUCGUCGGCAAUGGACGGAAGUCUGACCGAGCAACGCCGCGUGAGUGAAGAAGGGUUUCGGAUCGUAAAGCUCUGUUGUAAGAGAAGAGCGAGUGUGAGAGUGGAAAGUUCACACUGUGACGGUAGCUUACCAGAAAGGGACGGCUAACUACGUG